UAUAUUGCUGCAUUGGUUUCUGUAUACAUCUGUUUCUGCAGGGUCUUGCUUUAAUAGUGAUAAUUAACUGUUCCCUGGCUAGAGUUAGAGUUUAGGAAAAUGUUGUUAAUAGUAUUUAUUUUUCUUUUUCAGUUUCGAAGACCGGUCUUUCAGUUCAUGAAGAUAAAAACCCAAGUUCCCUACGUAAAGGGGUGCGCAGAGCGUUUUGUAUGUAGUCCAGAUGAAGUUAUGGAUACCAUAGAUGAAGGAAAAUCCAACAGACAUGUAGCAGUUACAAGUAAGCAGCAUGUUUAUUAACACUAGCUAAGGUACAGACUGCCUUAAAGUAUCUUUAUCAAGUUGAUUAAAAUUGUAAGAUUUUUUCUUAGGUAAAAUAAUGCUUUAGUGAUGACUCGUAAGGGAAAGCUGUGUUUAUAGUUGUUUCUGUGGUUCCAGUGCCGAUAUGAAUGAACAUAGCUCUAGCAGUCGCAGUAUAUCAUUAAUGUAAAACAAGAGCACACACAAACGGAACAAAAGCUGAGUGGAAAACUUCAUCUGCUAGAUUUAGCAGGUAGUGAGUGGAAAACUUUAUCUGGUUGACUUAGCAGGUAGUGAAAAGGUAAAAAUCUUUACAUUCUGAUGGAUAUCUAAGCAUUUUUACUUAACUUUAGUUCUAAUAUGCGUUAUUCAUUGUUACAUCUUGAAAAUGUGUAUCGAAUUGGAUUUGGUAAUAUUUUUGAGAGUUCACAAGCAUUUGUGCCAUUGCUUUAUUGUUAAAUAAACUGAAUGAUUCCCUCCGAGUUACUGUCAUUCGGGCCAUAGCCCAGUUCCGCCAACACGUGUUGUCCUUGACUCAAAGUGUAUGCUUUUAUUGAGAGUGUGUUCAGCAUACGUCAUUGAGAAUCUUACUAGGUACCCUCUCCCUCAUUUUUCGGUGUCUGUCUGACCCAUCCUGGCGUCGGGCCCUGUGAGGACGGGGAGCUGUCCGCCAGCCCUCCCUGCUUUGGCUGUGCUGCUUUCUUCUUCUGUAUGACUGUUUACUGUGGCCCUUUGCAGCCUGAUUCUAGUUUAUGUCAAAAUGGGAGUAAGUUCAGGUGUUUUCAUGUUGGCCUCUGUCGCCAUUUUUGCUGUUCUGCUGAUUUGUGUCUUCUGAUGAGAACGACAUACCUGUUCCCUUUUACGCAGAAGUCUUACACACAUCCUCCAGAGCCUCUCUCUAAUUUUGGGGAUACUGAGAAGCCAUUUCAAGUUUCUCUUUUCUGGUGCAGCAGAGGGGUUAACAAAAGUAAACUACAAAUGUAUGUGUAAA
Vicugna pacos (alpaca) is the source of this 1288-nucleotide non-coding RNA. NCBI's taxonomy places the organism in Eukaryota, Metazoa, Chordata, Mammalia, Artiodactyla, Camelidae. The record is from RefSeq and is a predicted model, not a curated record.